UGUGAAUAACUUAUACAACUCAAUAGCAAAAAAACCCCACACAUAAUUUGAUUAAAAAUUGACAAAAGGUCUGAAUAGACACUUUUUAAAAGAAGACAUACAAAUGGCAAACACGUAUAUUAAAAAAAUGCUCAACAUCACUAAUCAGGGAAAUGCAAGUCAAAACCACAUUGAGAUAGCAUCACACCCUAAUUGGAAUGGCUACUAUAUAAAAGGCAAAAAGUAAUAAAUACUGUUGGAGAUGUGGAAAAAGGGUAACUCUUAUA
Molecule: long non-coding RNA, 266 nt
Filed under: Homo sapiens (human)
Lineage: Eukaryota; Metazoa; Chordata; Mammalia; Primates; Hominidae
Description: non-protein coding lnc-ZSWIM2-12:1
Source: RNAcentral